CAAAGCAAAAUUAAUUUUGCCCCUUGUUUCCCAAUUCUGCUUCCCUUGUCUAGAUGGCACUUCUGUUGACCAUAAGACGGGAAGACGAGUAGAGAGGUUGGUGAGACCUGAGAGUUGACAGAUUAUCAAAGAGCAAGCCCAAAGCUACUCUAACUAACAUGUGUACUGUUGAGCGGUGGUAGGUAAUGAGUAGUAGCAGAUAAAACCCCACUCUGUAAAUGUGGAAGCUCCAUCUUCGACAUCUCUACUGCUUUCUUUCUUUAAGACCAAGAACCAUCAACUCCUCUCCACCGCCUAAUGCUCCAAAUCCAUUCUUCUUUGUCAUCCAUCUAAAACCUUAAUCUUUUUCUUAUUUUAAGCUACUCCCAUUUGUCUUUGCCCAAUUUCUUGCUUUGGAAUCAACUGACUUCGCUGAAUCAUUUAGGAAAAUGGCUCAAGAAGUGGUAAACCCAGAGGAGCAGGUUGUUCUUGGAGAAGAAAUAGGUAAAGUGAGGUUGAUCACAUUGAAUAGGCCGCGUCAGCUAAAUGUUAUUUCAUCCAAAGUGGUUUCUCUGCUAGCAGAUUUCUUGGAGAAAUGGGAGAAAGACGAAAAUGCAGAACUUAUAUUAAUCAAGGGUGCCGGUCGAGCAUUUUCUGCUGGUGGGGAUCUAAAAAUGUUUUAUGAUGGGAGGACGUCAAAGGAUUCUUGCCUUGAGGUGGUCUACAGAAUGUACUGGCUUUGUUAUCACAUCCACACAUAUAUGAAAACCCAGGUAAUAUUUUCAGGCAAAUUGCGUUCUCAUACUCUGACUUGGUGCAAUGGUAAGGUUGCUCCUUUGUGACCAGAACUUCAUGAUUCCAGAUCACAAGAACAGCCUCUCUGCUAAAACCAUGGGGAAGGUUACAAGCUAUAGAAAACCUUCCUCUGACCCCCCCAUUCCAUCCUGUGGCUUGUAUGCCUUCUAAGGCAUUUAUUAUCACAUUAUGAUUUUGCCAAAUUGCUGUUGAAGUAGAAACAUACUGAUGAAUGCCAAUAUUAUUAACAGGUUGCUCUUGUCCAUGGAAUUUCAAUGGGAGGCGGCGCAUCUUUUGUGGUCCCGAUGAAAUUUUCUGUUGUCACAGAGAAAACUGUGGGUAUUGGCUGCCUGUUUGGGUAUUUCUAGUCACAAAUAAGUUAGCGUAGUCUUUUUGGUCUUAAAGGUUUGGAAUUUAAAUCAGAAUUGGCAGACCAAUCUUUCUGGUGACUGUUAUGUAUGCAUAGGUUUUUGCAACUCCAGAAGCAAGUAUUGGAUUUCAUACUGAUUGCAGUUUCUCAUACAUUCUUUCCCAUCUCCCUGGGCAUUUGGGGGAAUACUUAGCUUUAACUGGAGCAAGGCUGAAUGGUAAGGAAUUGGUUGUUGCUGGCCUAGCCACUCACUUUGUCCCUUCUGAGAAACUGCCUGAGCUAGAGAAGCAUUUGAUAAGCUUGAACUCUGGUGAUGAGAAAGCAGUCAAAUCUGCGAUUGAAGAAUUCUCUAUGGAUGUUCAGCUUGAUGAAGAAAGUGUUUUAAACAAGCUUUCCAUAAUUGACGAGUGUUUUUCCAAGGAUACUGUGGUAGACAUCAUCAAAUCAUUUGAAGCUGAGGCAACUAAAGAAGGAAAUGGAUGGAUAGGAGCAAUACUGAAAGGGUUGAAAAGAUCUUCUCCUACAGGAUUGAAAAUCACACUCAAAUCGAUUCGUGAAGGACGGAAACAAACAAUUGCUGAAUGUCUUAAGAAAGAAUUCAGAAUAACAAUGAACAUACUUCGAACUGCAAUAUCUGCAGACGUCUAUGAGGGUAUUAGGGCUCUCACCAUUGACAAGGAUAAUGCACCUAAGUGGGACCCACCAACUUGGAACGAAGUGGAUGAUGAAAAAGUGGACCUUGUAUUUCAGCCAUUCAAAGAGGAUUUGGAGCUCCAAAUUCCUGGAAAAGAAGACUGCAGGUGGAGUGGCAAAUAUGAGAAUUCACCAUACGCAGCGUUAAGUUGACAGAAAAAAAUGAAUCUGAAAUGCCUGCUCAAAAUAAAUUCUAAACUCUGAGGACAUAUGCAUCACAAUGUGGAUCAUUUCAGGCAGUCUACUCCUGUAUUUCUGCUCUAUGUUUUUAAUUACUCAUGUAGGGGGUGGGGGAGUCAAAACUGGGUCUCCUAGGUUUAACAUAUAUGCAGCUACUAGCCCACUGCUGCUGCUUUAUGUGUCUUCUUGUAAUAAUAUUACUCAGACUCAACCAAAAUGUACGACUUUGGCGUGAUAUUUCAUCUUGAUAUUUAUGAUGAGUAUGAUUAUACUACUUCACCCUUGUAUGUGCUCUCACUUAGAAAGGCAGAAGCAGACAUGGCAAGAUAAUUGGAAUGAUCUUAAAAGCAUGUGGCCGUAAUUCAGGAGCCUAUUUUCUUCUUAUGGACGCCUGUGGGAAGACAUACCUUUAAUGUCUAAACCUAUUAUUACCAGCUAAUUCAAGCUCUAAGUUCCUCACGAGUCACUUCCUGCCAAGGCCCGUGUUUGAAGCUACUUGGAAGUGCAUAAUUCUUUCAAUCAGAUAUUUAUGAAAUAAAAUAUGGGCGAUUAAAAGAUCAAAGUUUUGAUUGUAGCCAGAGAUCAUGAGGGGAAGUUUUGAUGUCUGGGGCUGGAGUUAUUAACUGUUCCAUUCCUGCAGAUGAAGCGGAAGUUGAGGCUGUAAUUUUUGGUGUUCAUCGUGCUCUUGAUGCAGGCUUCGUAGACAUCCAGCUGGAGUCAGAUUGGUUGAUCUUGGUUAACCAUGUUCAGAACAAAACAGUCCCUAAUUUAUAUUUUGGAACAAGAAUUCAGCAGCCUUUGUUGGUUUCUUAGCUCUGCAGAUCCUUUUGUGGCUCCCACGUUUUCAGAGAGGCCAAUGAGUUGGCCCAUUCAUUAGCUAAAUUGGCUGUCUAUUGUUUCAGAAGAGUUAUUCUAUUGUUUCAGAAGAGUUAUUGUGGAUGGAAGAGGUUAGUAUUGCCAUCAGAGAUUCAUGAUUCUAUUGGGCUAAAAAGAUCAAUUUCACGGAAAACUAUAUACAGAACCGGUUACAUUAAUGAU
Molecule: unclassified non-coding RNA, 3055 nt
Filed under: Hevea brasiliensis (rubber tree)
Lineage: Eukaryota; Viridiplantae; Streptophyta; Magnoliopsida; Malpighiales; Euphorbiaceae
Source: RNAcentral